AUACGGAGGGUGCAAGCGUUAUCCGGAAUCAUUGGGUUUAAAGGGUCCGCAGGCGGACUGAUAAGUCAGUGGUGAAAUCCCGUAGCUUAACUACGGAACUGCCAUUGAAACUGUCAGUCUUGAAUUCGGUCGAAGUGGGCGGAAUGUGUCAUGUAGCGGUGAAAUGCAUAGAUAUGACACAGAACACCGAUAGCGAAGGCAGCUCACUAGGCCUGAAUUGAGGCUCAGGGACGAAAGCGUGGGGAGCGAACAGGAUUAGAAACCCCAGUAGUCC
Molecule: ribosomal RNA, 274 nt
Filed under: uncultured bacterium
Lineage: Bacteria
Description: partial 16S ribosomal RNA
Rfam family: Bacterial small subunit ribosomal RNA
Source: RNAcentral